RNAcentral lists this ribosomal RNA (492 nucleotides) under uncultured bacterium. RNAcentral describes it as "partial 16S ribosomal RNA". It matches the Rfam family "Bacterial small subunit ribosomal RNA", at positions 29 to 507 of the family's 1533-position model. The record is from RNAcentral.
AGUGAACGCUGGCGGUAGGCCUAACACAUGCAAGUCGAACGGCAGCACAGUAAGAGCUUGCUCUUACGGGUGGCGAGUGGCGGACGGGUGAGGCAUACAUCGGAAUCUACUUUUUCGUGGGGGAUAACGUAGGGACACUUACGCUAAUACCGCAUACGACCUACGGGUGGCAGCAGGGGAUCUUCGGACCUUGCGCGAUUGAAUGAGCCGAUGUCGGAUUAGCUAGUUGGCGGGGUAAAGGCCCACCAAGGCGACGAUCCGUAGCUGGUCUGAGAGGAUGAUCAGCCACACUGGAACGGAGACACGGUCCAGACUCCUACGGGAGGCAGCCGUGGGCAAUAUUGGACAAUGGGCGCAAGCCUGAUCCAGCCAUACCGCGUGGGUGAAGAAGGCCCUCGGGCUGUAAAGCCCCUUUGUUGGGAAAGAAAAUCAGCAGGUUAAUACCCCGCUGUUCUGACGGUACGCAAAGAAUAAGCACCGGCUAACUUCGUG